CGUAGGGGGGCGAGCGUUGUCCGGAAUCAUUGGGCGUAAAAGAGCGUGUAGGCGGCCUGGUAAGUCCGCUGUGAAAAACCCGGGGGCUCAACCCCGGGCGUGCAGUGGAAACUGCCGGGCUAGAGGGCGGCAGAGGCGAGUGGAAAUUCCCGGUGUAGCGGUGAAAAUGCGCAGAUAUCGGGAGGAACACCGGUAGCGAAAGGCGGCUCGCUGGGCCGUUCCUGACGCUGAGACGCGAAAAGCUAGGGGAGCGAACAGGAUU
RNAcentral lists this ribosomal RNA (262 nucleotides) under uncultured bacterium. RNAcentral's name for it is "partial 16S ribosomal RNA". It matches the Rfam family "Bacterial small subunit ribosomal RNA", at positions 526 to 779 of the family's 1533-position model. The record is from RNAcentral.